UGGGGAAUAUUGCACAAUGGACGGAAGUUUGAUGCAGCGACGCCGCGUGGAGGGUGUAGGCCUUCGGGUUGUGAACUCCUUUUUCUCGCGAAAAAGGCACAGUUUUGGCUGUGUUGAUGGUAGUGGGGGAAGAAGCGCCGGCUAACUACGUGCCAGCAGCCGCGGUAAUACGUAGGGCGCGAGCGUUGUCCGGAUUUAUUGGGCGUAAAGAGCUCGUAGGUGGUUCGUCGCGUCUGUCGUGAAAGCCAGCAGCUUAACUGUUGGUCUGCGGUGGGUACGGGCGGGCUUGAGUGCGGUAGGGGUGACUGGAAUUCCUGGUGUAGCGGUGAAUGCGCAGAUAUCAGGAGGAACACCGAUGGCGAAGGCAGGUCACUGGGCCGUUACUGACACUGAGGAGCGAAAGCGUGGGGAGCGAACAGG
RNAcentral lists this ribosomal RNA (420 nucleotides) under Fusobacteriota bacterium. RNAcentral describes it as "Fusobacteria bacterium partial 16S ribosomal RNA". It matches the Rfam family "Bacterial small subunit ribosomal RNA", at positions 355 to 776 of the family's 1533-position model. The record is from RNAcentral. Lineage: Bacteria; Fusobacteriati; Fusobacteriota.